Molecule: ribosomal RNA, 840 nt
Filed under: uncultured euryarchaeote
Lineage: Archaea; Methanobacteriati; Methanobacteriota
Description: bacterial SSU rRNA
Rfam family: Archaeal small subunit ribosomal RNA
Source: RNAcentral
AGGUUACUGCUAUCGAGGUUCGACUAAGCCAUGCGAGUCGAAUGUAGCAAUACAUGGCGUACUGCUCAGUAACACGUGGACAACCUACCCUUAAGCCUGGGAUAACCCCGGGAAACUGGGAAUAAUACCGGAUAUAUCGCGAAUGCUGGAAUGCGUCGCGAUAGAAAGCUCCGGCGCCUAAGGAUGGGUCUGCGGCCUAUCAGGGUAGUAGUGGGUGUAAUGUACCUACUAGCCUACGACGGGUACGGGUUGUGAGAGCAAGAGCCCGGAGAUGGAUUCUGAGGCACGAAUCCAGGCCCUACGGGGUGCAGCAGGCGCGAAAACUUUACAAUGCUGGCAACAGCGAUAAGGGGACCUCGAGUGCCAGGAUACAAUCCUGGCUGUCGUAAUGCCUAAAAAGCAUUGCAUAGCAAGGGCCGGGCAAGACCGGUGCCAGCCGCCGCGGUAACACCGGCGGCUCGAGUGGUAACCGUUAUUAUUGGGUCUAAAGGGUCUGUAGUCGGCCGGAUAAGUCUCUUGGGAAAUCCAGCAGCUCAACUGUUGGGCUUUCAGGAGAUACUGUCUGGCUCGAGGCCGGGAGAGGUGAGAGGUACUUCAGGGGUAGGGGUGAAAUCUUGUAAUCCUUGAAGGACCACCAGUGGCGAAGGCGUCUCACCAGAACGGACCUGACGGCAAGGGACGAAAGCUAGGGGCACGAACCGGAUUAGAUACCCGGGUAGUCCUAGCCGUAAACGAUACUCGCUAGGUGUCGGCCACGGUGCGACCGUGGUCGGUGCCGUAGGGAAGCCGUGAAGCGAGCCACCUGGGAAGUACGGCCGCAAGGCUGAAACUUAAAGGAAU